ACAGGGGGAUAACACUGAGAAAUUGGUACUAAUACCCCAUAACAUCAGGACCGGCAUCGGUUCUGGUUGAAAACUCCGUUGGUUAUGGAUGGGCAUGCGUUGUAUUAGCUGGUUGGUGAGGUAACGGCUCACCAAGGCAACGAUACAUAGGGGGACUGAGAGGUUAACCCCCCACAUUGGUACUGAGACACGGACCAAACUCCUACGGGAGGCAGCAGUGAGGAAUAUUGGUCAAUGGACGCAAGUCUGAACCAGCCAUGCCGCGUGCAGGAAGACGGCUCUAUGAGUUGUAAACUGCUUUUGUACGAGGGUAAACGCUCUUACGUGUAAGAGCCUGAAAGUAUCGUACGAAUAAGGAUCGGCUAACUCCGUGCCAGCAGCCGCGGUAAUACGGAGGAUCCAAGCGUUAUCCGGAUUUAUUGGGUUUAAAGGGUGCGUAGGCGGUUUGAUAAGUUAGAGGUGAAAUACCGGUGCUUAACACCGGAACUGCCUCUAAUACUGUUGAACUAGAGAGUAGUUGCGGUAGGCGGAAUGUAUGGUGUAGCGGUGAAAUGCUUAGAGAUCAUACAGAACACCGAUUGCGAAGGCAGCUUACCAAACUAUAUCUGACGUUGAGGCACGAAAGCGUGGGGAGCAAACAGGAUUAGAUACCCUGGUAGUCCACGCAGUAAACGAUGAUAACUCGCUGUCGGCGAUACACGGUCGGCGGCUAAGCGAAAGCGAUAAGUUAUCCACCUGGGGAGUAC
RNAcentral lists this ribosomal RNA (746 nucleotides) under uncultured bacterium. RNAcentral's name for it is "bacterial SSU rRNA". It matches the Rfam family "Bacterial small subunit ribosomal RNA", at positions 135 to 883 of the family's 1533-position model. The record is from RNAcentral.